UACGAAACGACGACCACCCGCUGCUUAAGUGGCUGGAGUAAAACCAGCGGCCUCGUGAUUCUCUACUGACAACGCGCAAAUGAAAACAAUUAUAAUCAUUACUAACACCCGAUUCCUCAUCAAGAUUCAAUAAUACUCCCGAACCUAACCUACUAAAACAAAAUCACGAUGUUACCUGACGAAACAACUACGACAAACCAACACUGAAAAUCAAUCAAACAGCAAGAGAACGAGAAGCAAAGUCGUGAAGAGAGAAUCAAUAUAAGACCAGAAUGGCAGCCAAAAUAAAAUAGAAAAAAAACAUAAAAGAUCAAGAAUCAAAAGAAGAAUAGAAAGGAACAAAAUAGAACCGGUUGCAAAAUAGGGUAAAUGGCUGCAUGAAAAUGGGCUAAUAUUUGUUUGUCACAAUUUCACUAUGCAUGCAAAAU
Molecule: long non-coding RNA, 428 nt
Filed under: Gossypium raimondii (Peruvian cotton)
Lineage: Eukaryota; Viridiplantae; Streptophyta; Magnoliopsida; Malvales; Malvaceae
Description: long non-coding RNA (GRAI_LNC000696)
Source: RNAcentral